AGCUUCAGAUCGGCUCCACCCCUCCCCUCUCCACUCCACAACAGCCAUGGCUGGAGGCUGAUGGAGACGUUUUUCACCUCCCCCAUUUCUAUCCUCCCGUAAAAAUCAAGUCCACCCAGCCAGAUCCCGUCUGUCACCAGUUCUGGCGGCGGCGUGCAGCACCCGGCGAUCUAAGAAACAGUACUGCUAGCAGUAGUGGCGGACAAUGGCGAGCAGCAGCGCAAGGAGCGGCGAUGCGGCUGAUGUGCGAGCUGUGGACCGGGCUGCUUGUCGAGCGGUGGCGCGUGUGGAUGGCCGAGCGACAACGCAGGUUGAAGGGUUCUAUUCUGCUGUGUUCUCCUUCUCAUGAAGGGUAAAGGAGGUGGGAGAUCCAUAUCGCUAGCUUCAUCCAAUGUCAAAUCCAUGUACCAGGCAAGCGGCCAAGAAUGCCUUCUCCCUGCCCGGCUAGAAGUUGGAUCCUUCCAAGAGGGAACCUCUCAGGAUUUUCUACGAGUCACUGUCCAAAAAGUACAUAUAUGUUUUCAUUCAUCUGAUUUUUUUAAAAAUUUGACAGAGGGAACCUCUCAGAAUUUUCUACGAGUCACUGCCCAAAAAGAUCCAAUCCAGUGAGAUGGCCGACUUCAGGGGGGUGGGAAGCAAUAUUGGAG
This is a long non-coding RNA of Aegilops tauschii subsp. strangulata, 647 nucleotides long. RefSeq lists it as uncharacterized. The record is from RefSeq and is a predicted model, not a curated record. NCBI's taxonomy places the organism in Eukaryota, Viridiplantae, Streptophyta, Magnoliopsida, Poales, Poaceae.